UGGGGAAUAUUGGACAAUGGGGGCAACCCUGAUCCAGCCAUGCCGCGUGAGUGAUGAAGGCCUUAGGGUUGUAAAGCUCUUUCACCCGGGACGAUAAUGACGGUACCGGGAGAAGAAGCCCCGGCUAACUUCGUGCCAGCAGCCGCGGUAAUACGAAGGGGGGCUAGCGUUGUUCGGAAUCANCUGGGCGUAAAGCGCACGUAGGCGGACCGUUAAGUCGGAGGUGAAAUCCUGGGGCUCAACCCCAGAACUGCCUUCGAUACUGGCGGUCUCGAGUCCGGAAGAGGUGAGUGGAACUGCCAGUGUAGAGGUGAAAUUCGUAGAUAUUGGCAAGAACACCAGUGGCGAAGGCGGCUCACUGGUCCGGUACUGACGCUGAGGUGCGAAAGCGUGGGGAGCAAAACAGGAUUAGAUACCCUGGUAGUCCACGCCGUAAAACGAUGAAUGCCAGCCGUCGGGCAGCAUGCUGUUCGGUGGCGCAGCUAACGCUUUAAGCAUUCCGCCUGGGGGAGUACGGUCGCAAGAUUAAAAACUCAAAUGAAUUGACGGGGGUCAUAGCUG
This 561-nucleotide ribosomal RNA is filed under the name uncultured bacterium. RNAcentral describes it as "partial 16S ribosomal RNA". It matches the Rfam family "Bacterial small subunit ribosomal RNA", at positions 355 to 928 of the family's 1533-position model. The record is from RNAcentral.